UACGUAGGGUGCAAGCGUUGUCCGGAAUUAUUGGGCGUAAAGAGCUCGUAGGCGGCCUGUCGCGUCGACUGUGAAAACCCAGGGCUCAACCCUGGGCCUGCAGUCGAUACGGGCAGGCUAGAGUGCAGUAGGGGAGACUGGAAUUCCUGGUGUAGCGGUGAAAUGCGCAGAUAUCAGGAGGAACACCGGUGGUGAAGGCGGGUCUCUGGGCUGUAACUGACGCUGAGGAGCGAAAGCGUGGGGAGCGAACAGG
This 253-nucleotide ribosomal RNA is filed under the name uncultured bacterium. RNAcentral describes it as "partial 16S ribosomal RNA". It matches the Rfam family "Bacterial small subunit ribosomal RNA", at positions 524 to 776 of the family's 1533-position model. The record is from RNAcentral.